GACGAACGCUGGCGGCGUGCUUAACACAUGCAAGUCGUACGGUAAGGCCCUUUCGGGGGUACACGAGUGGCGAACGGGUGAGUAACACGUGAGUAACCUGCCCACAACUUUGGGAUAACGCUAGGAAACUGGUGCUAAUACUGGAUAUGUGCCCCUGCUGCAUGGUGGGGGUUGGAAAGCUCCGGCGGUUGUGGAUGGACUCGCGGCCUAUCAGCUUGUUGGUGGGGUAGUGGCCUACCAAGGCGGCGACGGGUAGCCGGCCUGAGAGGGUGACCGGCCACAGUGGGACUGAGAUACGGCCCAGACUCCUACGGGAGGCAGCAGUGGGGAAUAUUGCACAAUGGGCGCAAGCCUGAUGCAGCAACGCCGCGUGCGGGAUGACGGCCUUCGGGUUGUAAACCGCUUUCAGCAGGGACGAAGCUUUUUGUGACGGUACCUGCAGAAGAAGCACCGGCUAACUACGUG
Molecule: ribosomal RNA, 465 nt
Filed under: uncultured bacterium
Lineage: Bacteria
Description: partial 16S ribosomal RNA
Rfam family: Bacterial small subunit ribosomal RNA
Source: RNAcentral